RNAcentral lists this long non-coding RNA (1670 nucleotides) under Homo sapiens (human). RNAcentral's name for it is "HSALNT0303015". Lineage: Eukaryota; Metazoa; Chordata; Mammalia; Primates; Hominidae. The record is from RNAcentral.
GGAAGGGGCAAAGGGUUUCUCUCUGGCCUCUUUUAUAAGGGUUGGAACUCCAAUAUGGUGCUGGUAGCCAGCUGUGACCAAGAAGAGGACAACCGGAGCAACAAUCUUAGACACAAGGAUGGAAGCUGUAAGGCAGGGGAGGAGUUCCAGGGUCCCUGGAGAACUUCAUGGAGCUGAGGACGUCCUUCCUGUUUUGUAGUGUUGCAUGAGAGAGGAAUAACAUUCUAUAUUAUUUGGCUGGGCGCGGUGGCUCAUGCCUGUAAUCCCAGCACUUUGGGAGGCCGAGUCAUAGGCAGCAGAUCCCUGUGGAUGAGCUUCAACUUCAGGGAGGUCAGCCACUUACUAGCUCUCUAAUCCAGGCGAGUCAUUAAACCUCUCUGCCCCUCAGUUCCUUCAUCUGUAAAAAGGGAUAACAAUAUUACCUACUUCACAGGAUUACCAUAUAGAAUAAAUGAGAUAACACCUGCAAAGCAUUUCACAUCCUUCUUGGAACACGAAUUGAGAAGAAUGAUUCUUAAUUUAAAAAGUAGAAGGGUGCAUCACCCAGCCUCUCAUUGGUUGUACCUGCGGUGUGGCAUUUCAUCCAAACCUGGAAGUGGAAGUGCAGGUGGAAGACCAGCCAAUAGAGAAAAAAGGACACAGUCAAGGGAAUCUGAGAAGGCACACAGGGUUUGUGUCCAACAUACCAUUAAAGAACUCCAUGCAAGAGAGUGACAUGGUCUGGCAACACUUGGGGGGACCGCUUAGAGAGGGUUGAGAAUGGAUGUAGGGAGAUCAGUGGUGGAGUAUUGCCAUGAUCCAGACGAGAGAAGACAGUGUCUGGGGCUGGCAUUUGAUGUAGAGAUGGAGAAAGUGAAUGGACAUCAGAAAUUUUAGGAGGUAAAAUUGCCAGGGUUGAGGGAUAGGUUGAAUUUGAGAAAUAGAGAAAGGCAUCAAGGAUGUCUGGGUUUCUGACCUGAGCAGCCCAGCCGAUGGUGGUGUCAUUGGCUGAGAUAAGAAUCUGAGGUAGUGAGGCAAGUCUGGGAGGAAAGAUCCUUGGGAUUUGAACUUGUGCCUAUGAAAAGCCCAGUUGGAGACUUGGCAUAGGCAACUGCAAGUAGGAGCCUGAUUAUCGGAGUAGUGGAUGUGGGUAGCAGGGAUUGCAUAUAGAUGAGAAAAGGAAGCUUAAAUAACCUAAACACUUAAUGGCUCUGUAGAGAAGAUUGGGUCUGCAAAGGAGAAAAAGAAACCACAGGCAAAGAGGUAGGAGGAAAAUGAGAAGGGCUUUGGUCCUCAAAGCCCAGGGACUUGGGUUUUAGGAGGGAAUGGUCCCAGAGAGACUAGGGGACAUAAGGACUGAGUUCUUUCUGGCAAUGUGGUGGUCAUUAAUUAUUUUAGCUAAAGUGAUGAGGCUGAGGAGUGAGGGGAGCGGAUGAAAUUGAAGUGGAGUAUAGACGACUCAUUUGAGAAGUUUCGCUGGGAAGGAGAGAAGAAAGAAUAGUUGUAGGAAGGGGCUGUGGUUUCAGAGAGGUGUUUUUGUUUUGUGCUGAGAGAGACUCAAGCAUGCUUAAGUGUAAAUGGGAAGGAUUCGGGUGUCAGAGAAGCGUUGGAAAUAGAAGGGAGAGGAGACAUUUUCUAGUGUGGGGCUCUGGGGGCUGGGAUCCAGAACACAGGUGCAGGGCUUGACCUAA